RNAcentral lists this non-coding RNA (96 nucleotides) under Thauera terpenica. RNAcentral's name for it is "TPP sequence". It matches the Rfam family "TPP riboswitch aptamer (THI element)". Rfam says of the family: Vitamin B(1) in its active form thiamin pyrophosphate (TPP) is an essential coenzyme that is synthesised by coupling of pyrimidine and thiazole moieties in bacteria. The previously detected thiamin-regulatory element, thi box was extended, resulting in a new, highly conserved RNA secondary structure, the THI element, which is widely distributed in eubacteria and also occurs in some archaea. Analysis of operon structures identified a large number of new candidate thiamin-regulated genes, mostly transporters, in various prokaryotic organisms. The record is from RNAcentral. RNAcentral also lists the same sequence under 1 other name. Lineage: Bacteria; Pseudomonadati; Pseudomonadota; Betaproteobacteria; Rhodocyclales; Zoogloeaceae.
CCUUCUCGUUAGGGGUGCCCGCUGCGUACGGGCUGAGAAACACCCUUGGAACCUGAUCCGGCUCGCACCGGCGUAGGGAAACGUCACCAUGAGUUC